AUGAGUUGCCUAAGCUGGAACUGUCGAGGGCUUGGGAACCCAUCGACAGUUCAAGAGCUUCGCAGUGUAGUGAAGCAGGAAGGGCCCUGUCUCUUGUUCUUGAUGGAGACAAAAAUUUCAGCACAAAGAGUGGAGAGUCUGCAGAACCUCUUGGGAUUUGCAGGAUGUUUUGCGGUGAACAGUACUGGCCUUAGUGGUGGUAUUGGUUUAUUCUGGAAGGAUGAGGUU
Molecule: ribosomal RNA, 228 nt
Filed under: Triticum aestivum (bread wheat)
Lineage: Eukaryota; Viridiplantae; Streptophyta; Magnoliopsida; Poales; Poaceae
Description: partial small subunit ribosomal RNA
Source: RNAcentral